Molecule: unclassified non-coding RNA, 203 nt
Filed under: Hevea brasiliensis (rubber tree)
Lineage: Eukaryota; Viridiplantae; Streptophyta; Magnoliopsida; Malpighiales; Euphorbiaceae
Source: RNAcentral
GGGUAUCAAGAAGGUAUUCAGCAAGUGAUGGAGAAAAAGGACGUUUCUGAUUCCCAAAAGGGAAGCGAUAAAAUCUAAUAAAAGUUUGCGAUAGUAUUUAUGCUUUAUGUAAAAGCUGCAGAAUUGUGACUAAAAUAGUUUAGAAGAUUGGGCAGUUCAGUUUCCAUUUGUAAAAAUUGGUUGAGUUGAGAUUUCUAGUGUCG